Molecule: non-coding RNA, 214 nt
Organism: Pelobates cultripes (western spadefoot toad)
Lineage: Eukaryota; Metazoa; Chordata; Amphibia; Anura; Pelobatidae
Source: the annotation of a GenBank genome assembly
GUCGAUCGCUACACAUCUUAAUGUUGAAAGUUGGUGCUGACACUCCAGGAAAUGUCGGGCCACAGGUUUGUCUGACUUGCCAUCACGAUAGGCAAGCCGGAUAUUUGACCUGUGUCCCUGAAUUCUUUCACAAAGCGCAGUCUCAGUUUUCCCAACAUAAUUUAGGACACAUGGGCAACUGAGUUUUUAAAUCACGUGAUCUGUUCAACAAUGU